UGCAAGCGUUAUCCGGAAUGAUUGGGCGUAAAGCGUCUGUAGGUGGCUUUUUAAGUCCGCCGUCAAAUCCCAGGGCCCAACUCUGGACAGGCGGUGGAAACUACCAAGCUGGAGUACGGUAGGGGCAGAGGGAAUUUCCGGUGGAGCGGUGAAAUGCGUAGAUAUCAGGAGGAACACCGGUGGCGAAGGCGGGUCUCUGGGCCGAUACUGACGCUGAGGAGCGAAAGCGUGGGGAGCGAACAGG
This 244-nucleotide ribosomal RNA is filed under the name uncultured bacterium. Its description in RNAcentral is "partial 16S ribosomal RNA". It matches the Rfam family "Bacterial small subunit ribosomal RNA", at positions 533 to 776 of the family's 1533-position model. The record is from RNAcentral.